GCCGGUGUAGCUCAGCUGGCAGAGCAACGCACUCGUAAUGCGUAGGUCGGUGGUUCGAGUCCACUCACCGGCACCA
This 76-nucleotide transfer RNA is filed under the name Halomonas halmophila. RNAcentral describes it as "tRNA-Thr". It matches the Rfam family "tRNA". From Rfam's summary of the family: Transfer RNA (tRNA) molecules are approximately 80 nucleotides in length. Their secondary structure includes four short double-helical elements and three loops (D, anti-codon, and T loops). RNAcentral also lists the same sequence under 2 other names. Lineage: Bacteria; Pseudomonadati; Pseudomonadota; Gammaproteobacteria; Oceanospirillales; Halomonadaceae. The record is from RNAcentral.